UACGUAGGGGGCAAGCGUUACCCGGAAUUACUGGGUGUAAAGGGUGAGUAGGCGGCAUGGUAAGCCAGAUGUGAAAGCCUUGGGCUUAACCCGAGGAUUGCAUUUGGAACUAUCAAGCUAGAGUACAGGAGAGGAAAGCGGAAUUCCUAGUGUAGCGGUGAAAUGCGUAGAUAUUAGGAAGAACACCAGUGGCGAAGGCGGCUUUCUGGACUGAAACUGACGCUGAGGCACGAAAGCGUGGGGAGCGAACAGG
This 253-nucleotide ribosomal RNA is filed under the name uncultured bacterium. RNAcentral describes it as "partial 16S ribosomal RNA". It matches the Rfam family "Bacterial small subunit ribosomal RNA", at positions 524 to 776 of the family's 1533-position model. The record is from RNAcentral.